Molecule: ribosomal RNA, 849 nt
Filed under: Firmicutes bacterium 00YJS
Lineage: Bacteria; Bacillati; Bacillota
Description: bacterial SSU rRNA
Rfam family: Bacterial small subunit ribosomal RNA
Source: RNAcentral
AUGCCUGCUUCAGCUGAUACUUAGCGGCGGACGGGUGAGUAACACGUGGGUAACCUGCCUGUAAGACUGGGAUAACAUUCGGAAACGAAUGCUAAUACCGGAUACGCGAUUUGGUCGCAUGACCGAACCUUGAAAGAUGGAGCAAUCUAUCACUUACAGAUGGACCCGCGGCGCAUUAGCUAGUUGGUGAGGUAACGGCUCACCAAGGCGACUAUGCGUAGCCGACCUGAGAGGGUGAUCGGCCACACUGGGACUGAGACACGGCCCAGACUCCUACGGGAGGCAGCAGUAGGGAAUCUUCCGCAAUGGACGAAAGUCUGACGGAGCAACGCCGCGUGAGUGAUGAAGGUUUUCGGAUCGUAAAGCUCUGUUGCCAGGGAAGAAUGCUUGGGAGAGUAACUGCUCUCAAGGUGACGGUACCUGAAAAGAAAGCCCCGGCUAACUACGUGCCAGCAGCCGCGGUAAUACGUAGGGGGCAAGCGUUGUCCGGUAUUAUUGGGCGUAAAGCGCGCGCAGGCGGUCUUGUAAGUCUGUUGUUUAAACUUGGCGCUCAACCCCAAGUCGCAAUAGACACUGCAAAGCUUGAGUACAGAAGAGGAGAGUGGUACUCCACGUGUAGCGGUGAAAUGCGUAGAGAUGUGGAAGCACACCAGUGGCGAGGGCGACUCUCUGGGCUGUCACUGACGCUGAGGCGCGAAAGCGUGGGGAGCAAACAGGAUUAGAUACUCUGGGUAGUCCACGCCAUAAACGAUGAGUGCUAGGUGAUAGGGGUUUUCUAUACUCUUGGUGCAGAUGUUAACACAUUAAAGCAUUCCGCGUGGAGUAGUACGGUCGCGAGACUGACUCUCA